RNAcentral lists this ribosomal RNA (413 nucleotides) under uncultured bacterium. RNAcentral's name for it is "bacterial SSU rRNA". It matches the Rfam family "Bacterial small subunit ribosomal RNA", at positions 87 to 507 of the family's 1533-position model. The record is from RNAcentral.
UGGUGGCGACGGCGCACGGGUGCGUAACACGUAUACAAUCUACUAACAGGGGAUAGCCUUCGAAGAGAGAUUAAUACCCGUAAUAAAUUGAACGGCAUCGUUUGAUUUGAAAGCUCCGGCGGUUUGAGAUGAGUAUGCGUCUGAUUAGCUAGUUGGUGAGGUAACGGCUCACCAAGGCGACGAUCAGUAGGGGACCUGAGAGGACUAACCCCCACACUGGUACUGAGACACGGACCAGACUCCUACGGGAGGCAGCAGUAAGGAAUAUUGGUCAAUGGAGGCAACUCUGAACCAGCCAUGCCGCGUGCAGGAUGACGGCCCUAUGGGUUGUAAACUGCUUUUAUACAAGAGAAAACCCUGGUACGUGUACCAAGUUGAUAGUAUUGUAAGAAUAAGCAUCGGCUAACUUCGUG